UGCAGUCGAGGGGUAAUUCUGCUUUCGGGCAGAAACGACCGGCGCACGGGUGCGUAACGCGUAUGCAACCCUACCCACAACUGGGGGAUAGCCCGGAGAAAUCCGGAUUAAUACCCCAUAAUGCAGGGGUACUGCAUGGUACUAUUUGCUAAAGAUUUAUCGGUUGUGGAUGGGCAUGCGUCUGAUUAGUUAGUUGGUGAGGUAACGGCUCACCAAGGCGACGAUCAGUAGGGGGUCUGAGAGGAUGAUCCCCCACACUGGUACUGAGAUACGGACCAGACUCCUACGGGAGGCAGCAGUAGGGAAUAUUGGUCAAUGGGCGGAAGCCUGAACCAGCCAUGCCGCGUGCAGGAUGACGGCCUUCUGGGUUGUAAACUGCUUUUAUCAGGGAAGAAAACGGUCAUGCGUGACAGAUUGACGGUACCUGAAGAAUAAGCACCGGCUAACUCCGUGCCAGCAGCCGCGGUAAUACGGAGGGUGCAAGCGUUGUCCGGAUUUAUUGGGUUUAAAGGGUGCGUAGGCGGAUUAU
Molecule: ribosomal RNA, 529 nt
Filed under: uncultured Sphingobacteriia bacterium
Lineage: Bacteria; Pseudomonadati; Bacteroidota; Sphingobacteriia
Description: bacterial SSU rRNA
Rfam family: Bacterial small subunit ribosomal RNA
Source: RNAcentral